This 480-nucleotide ribosomal RNA is filed under the name uncultured bacterium. RNAcentral describes it as "partial 16S ribosomal RNA". It matches the Rfam family "Bacterial small subunit ribosomal RNA", at positions 28 to 523 of the family's 1533-position model. The record is from RNAcentral.
GACGAACGCUGGCGGCGUGCUUAACACAUGCAAGUCGAACGGAAAGGCUCUGCUUGCAGGGUACUCGAGUGGCGAACGGGUGAGUAACACGUGGGUGAUCUGCCCUGCACUUCGGUAUAAGCCUGGGAAACUGGGUCUAAUACCGGAUAGGAGCCAUUUUUAGUGUGAUGGUUGGAAAGUUUUUUCGGUGUAGGAUGAGCUCGCGGCCUAUCAGCUUGUUGGUGGGGUAAUGGCCUACCAAGGCGGCGACGGGUAGCCGGCCUGAGAGGGUGGACGGCCACAUUGGGACUGAGAUACGGCCCAGACUCCUACGGGAGGCAGCAGUGGGGAAUAUUGCACAAUGGGCGCAAGCCUGAUGCAGCGACGCCGCGUGGGGGAUGACGGCCUUCGGGUUGUAAACUCCUUUCGCUAGGGACGAAGCUUUUGUGACGGUACCUAGAUAAGAAGCACCGGCUAACUACGUGCCAGCCGCCACUGUAA